Molecule: ribosomal RNA, 459 nt
Filed under: uncultured bacterium
Lineage: Bacteria
Description: partial 16S ribosomal RNA
Rfam family: Bacterial small subunit ribosomal RNA
Source: RNAcentral
CCUACGGGAGGCAGCAGUGAGGAAUAUUGGUCAAUGGGCGCGAGCCUGAACCAGCCAAGUCGCGUGAGGGAAGACGGUCCUAUGGAUUGUAAACUUCUUUUGUCGGGGUGCAAAAGACGCCACGCGUGGCGUUCCGCGAGUACCCGAAGAAAAAGCAUCGGCUAACUCCGUGGCAGCAGCCGCGGUAAUACGGAGGAUGCGAGCGUUAUCCGGAUUUAUUGGGUUUAAAGGGUGCGCAGGCGGAAGAUCAAGUCAGCGGUAAAAUUGAGAGGCUCAACCUCUUCGAGCCGUUGAAACUGGUUUUCUUGAGUGAGCGAGAAAUAUGCGGAAAGUGUGGGGUAGCGGUGAAAUGCAUAGAUAUCACGCAGAACUCCGAUUGCGAAGGCAGCAUACCGGCGCUCAACUGACGCUCAUGCACGAAAGUGUGGGUAUCGAACAGGAUUAGAUACCCCUGUAGUC